GCAUACUCCUCCUUGGGGACAGGAGCUCAGAAAGACAUGGAAACUUUGCAAGAAUGGAAGCUGUCACCCACAGAAUACUGGGUGGGCUGGAUGGUUGAACUGUUUACAAGGGAAUGAUCUGUCACUUAAAUUUAUAUUUCCAAGUAUGAAGGGAAAGAAAUACAAUUAAGCAUGUAGGCCCUUUGAGGUCAAGUCUAAUUUAUUUCCUAUAUAUAUUUCUAGACAUACCAAUAUUUAAAAGUGACAUCAUAAGAAAGCUAUUUUAAAACAGAUGGUCUAUAUUAUAUAGCAACAAAUUUAAAGAUGCUGGUUUUCAGGUAAGAUCAAAUAGUGGAUUACUGCCAGUAAAAGCAUCAGCUGUUUUAAAACUGGAAAUCUCUAGUUUUUAAAAAUAAAUUAUAUGUAGUGAAAUUAAUUAUUUUUGGUAUUCAGUUAUGUUAGUAUUGAAAAAUGCAUUUAGUCAUGCUACCACCACAAAAAUCAAGAGGCAGAAUCACUCCAUUCCCCCAAUCCCCUACUCUCCACCCUGGGCCUCUGGCAACCACUGCUUUGAAAGUCUCUUCCAAAUUGUCAUGUAAAUGGAAUCAUGUGGUACCUAGUCUUCUAACUCUGGAUUAUUCUCAAAGAAUAUAAAUGCUUUUGAAAUUAUUCCAUUACUUAUUUGUAUCAGUGGUUCAUUUUUAAAUUACUGAGUAGUUUUGUAUUGUGUGGAUGAUUACAGUUUGCUUAUUCACUAACUGAAGGACUUUUGGGUUGCUUCCCAAUUCAGGGUGAUCAUUAAUAAAAUAUCUGAGUGAGAUUGUUGGGCUGAUGAUUAAAUAUAUUGUUUAACUUUAUAAGAAACCACUAACCUAUUUUCCAAAAUGCCUGUACCAUCUUGUAUUCCCAGUGUUUGUUUUGUUUUGUAUUGACAUCAUCAAGAAUCCAUUCUAGAGUUGUUCUCAUAGGUACAUAAUGGUAUCUCUCUGUGAUUUAAAUUUGUGUUUCUCUAAGGACAAAUGACAUUGAUUGAUUUUUUUGUGUACUUUCUUGCCAUCCUAAUAUCCUCUUUGGUGAAGUAUCUAUUAAAAA
Molecule: long non-coding RNA, 1071 nt
Filed under: Marmota monax (woodchuck)
Lineage: Eukaryota; Metazoa; Chordata; Mammalia; Rodentia; Sciuridae
Source: RNAcentral